UACGGGAGGCAGCAGUGAGGAAUAUUGGUCAAUGGGCGCGAGCCUGAUGCAGCGACGCCGCGUGAGCGAAGAAGUAUUUCGGUAUGUAAAGCUCUAUCAGCAGGGAAGAUAAUGACGGUACCUGACUAAGAAGCACCGGCUAAAUACGUGCCAGCAGCCGCGGUAAU
Molecule: ribosomal RNA, 167 nt
Filed under: uncultured rumen bacterium
Lineage: Bacteria
Description: partial 16S ribosomal RNA
Rfam family: Bacterial small subunit ribosomal RNA
Source: RNAcentral